RNAcentral lists this non-coding RNA (20 nucleotides) under Sclerotinia sclerotiorum. The record is from RNAcentral. Lineage: Eukaryota; Fungi; Ascomycota; Leotiomycetes; Helotiales; Sclerotiniaceae.
UAAAUUGAUAGGAUGAGAGG